Molecule: long non-coding RNA, 406 nt
Filed under: Numida meleagris (helmeted guineafowl)
Lineage: Eukaryota; Metazoa; Chordata; Aves; Galliformes; Numididae
Description: lncRNA (ENSNMEG00000012221.1)
Source: RNAcentral
UCAGUCUGAAUGAUAAUUUAGGAAUAUUCAUUGAGUUUAGUAUUCUGGAGAGAGUUCAAGAGUAUGCUGAACAGAUUCAUCCUUCAGCAGGUAUUUUUCUGUGGGAGAAGAUGAACACCAGCUGCAUGGCCGUGGUUAGAAAAUAUCUUCCCUGCCUACUAAAGAGAAAAUUCUGUGGCAAAUACAUAUAAAAAAAUAAUGAUAGAAGAACCAUUCAGCAGUUAUACUUAGAAAACUCAAUGGUUCCCAAUUUUUUUUUCCCACUGUGAGUUUGAGCCACAAUCCACAUUCAUGCUGUCCAGUUCUGGUUACAUCAUUUGUUUGCAGUCCAUUGGAUUCAAAACUCAAAGUAAGUGCCCUAAAAAGCUGCCAACAGAAGAAGUGGGUGGAGAGCUGCACACAGAAC